RNAcentral lists this ribosomal RNA (468 nucleotides) under uncultured bacterium. RNAcentral describes it as "partial 16S ribosomal RNA". It matches the Rfam family "Bacterial small subunit ribosomal RNA", at positions 28 to 507 of the family's 1533-position model. The record is from RNAcentral.
GAUGAACGCUGGCGGCGUGCCUAAUACAUGCAAGUCGAACGGAAAGGCCCGGCUCUUGUUGGGUUCUCGAUUGGCGCAGGGGGGAGUAACACGUGUGUAACCUCCACUUGACAUUGGGAUAACUCUUGGAAACUGGGGCGAAUACCCGGGAGGAUCUUCUGCUGCACGUGGGGGAUUGGUAAGUUUCGGCGUUGCUGGCUCGAUUCGCUGCUUAUCAGCUUGCUUGUGAAGUAGUGACUUACCAGGGGUUUGAAGGGUAGCCGGCCUGAGAGGUUGACCAGGCACCUUGGGACUGAGGUACGGCCCAGAAUGCUACGGGAGGCAGUAGUCGGGAGUAUUGCACAACGGGCGGGCGUCAGAUGCAGCAACGCCCCGAGCGGGAUACCCGCCUUCGGGUUGUAAACAGCUUUCGCCUGUGCCGAAGCGAGCGUGACGGUAAUGGGUAAAAAAGCCCCGGCUAACUACGUG